This 274-nucleotide ribosomal RNA is filed under the name uncultured bacterium. RNAcentral's name for it is "partial 16S ribosomal RNA". It matches the Rfam family "Bacterial small subunit ribosomal RNA", at positions 523 to 796 of the family's 1533-position model. The record is from RNAcentral.
AUACGGAGGGUCCAAGCGUUAUCCGGAAUCAUUGGGUUUAAAGGGUGCGCAGGCGGUUUAUUAAGUCAGUGGUGAAAUCUCGGGGCUCAACCUCGAAACUGCCAUUGAUACUGAUAAACUUGAGUUCAGUUGGAGUAGGCGGAAUGUGUAGUGUAGCGGUGAAAUGCUUAGAUAUUACACAGAACACCGAUAGCGAAGGCAGCUUACUAAACUGAUACUGACGCUGAGGCACGAAAGCGUGGGGAGCGAACAGGAUUAGAUACCCUAGUAGUCC